This 67-nucleotide transfer RNA is filed under the name Etrocorema hochii. Its description in RNAcentral is "tRNA-Thr". It matches the Rfam family "tRNA". Rfam says of the family: Transfer RNA (tRNA) molecules are approximately 80 nucleotides in length. Lineage: Eukaryota; Metazoa; Arthropoda; Insecta; Plecoptera; Perlidae. The record is from RNAcentral.
GUUUUAGUAGUUUAAUAAAAACUUUGGUCUUGUAAACCAAAAUUAAGGAAUUGGCCCUUCUUAAACU